This 495-nucleotide ribosomal RNA is filed under the name uncultured bacterium. RNAcentral's name for it is "bacterial SSU rRNA". It matches the Rfam family "Bacterial small subunit ribosomal RNA", at positions 29 to 504 of the family's 1533-position model. The record is from RNAcentral.
AACGAACGCUGGCGGCGUGCCUAACACAUGCAAGUCGAACGUGAAAGUACUUCGGUAUGAGUAAAGUGGCGCACGGGUGAGUAACACGUAGGUGACCUGCCUUUUAGAGGGGAAUAACCAGAUGAAAAUUUGGCUAAUGCCGCAUACGAAGAACAAAUAUAAUAGUAGUUCUUGAAAGGAUGCCUCUGUAUAUGCAUCCACUAAAAGAUGGGCCUGCGGAACAUUAGCUAGUUGGUGGGGUAAAGGCCUACCAAGGCAACGAUGUUUAUCCGGUCUGAGAGGAUGAUCGGACACACUGGAACUGAGACACGGUCCAGACUCCUACGGGAGGCAGCAGUGGGGAAUAUUGCGCAAUGGGGGAAACCCUGACGCAGCAACGCCGCGUGAGUGAGGAAGGACUUCGGUCUGUAAAGCUCUGUUAAUGUGGAAAAAUGGUAGAGGGUCUAAUAGGCCUUUUAUUUGAUGGUACACAUAGAGGAAGCACCGGCUAACUUC